GGGGACUCACGGUUUAAGCUAUUCUAUUUUUGUGAAUCUUGAUUAAUUUUGGCUUUAUUUUAUUUUAUUUUAUUUUAUUUUAUCUUUCCCAUGUUUAUUUUUAUUUUUAAAUCCCUAACUUCCAUUUUUGUUUUAUUUUAUUUUUAUUUUAUUCUGUGCUAACAAGAUUUUCUAGAUUUUUUGUGUUUGUUUAUGCAGGAUUGUACCUGAAGCAAAAAUUUUG
This 223-nucleotide long non-coding RNA is filed under the name Vigna radiata. Its description in RNAcentral is "long non-coding RNA (VRAD_LNC015270)". Lineage: Eukaryota; Viridiplantae; Streptophyta; Magnoliopsida; Fabales; Fabaceae. The record is from RNAcentral.